UACAGAGGUCCCAAGCGUUGUUCGGAUUCACUGGGCGUAAAGGGUGCGUAGGCGGUCGGGUAAGUCUGACGUGAAAUCUUUAAGCUCAACUUGGAAACUGCGUCCGAUACUAUUCGGCUAGAGGAAUGGAGGGGAGACUGGAAUACUUGGUGUAGCAGUGAAAUGCGUAGAUAUCAAGUGGAACACCAGUGGCGAAGGCGAGUCUCUGGACAUUUCCUGACGCUGAGGCACGAAAGCCAGGGGAGCAAACGGG
RNAcentral lists this ribosomal RNA (253 nucleotides) under uncultured bacterium. RNAcentral describes it as "partial 16S ribosomal RNA". It matches the Rfam family "Bacterial small subunit ribosomal RNA", at positions 524 to 776 of the family's 1533-position model. The record is from RNAcentral.